AUUAAGAUGUCUGACUAAAGUAAUAAAUUGUAAAUUUAUUUAAGAAUUAACUAUUCUCUUAAUA
Molecule: transfer RNA, 64 nt
Filed under: Atkinsoniella aurantiaca
Lineage: Eukaryota; Metazoa; Arthropoda; Insecta; Hemiptera; Cicadellidae
Also listed under: 1 other name
Description: tRNA-Tyr
Source: RNAcentral